GGGACAUGUUGGUCUGUGAACACUUAGGAUGCAUGGUUAUCUUCAAUUAUGUGCGCAGUCCCACUGCCUUCAACAGAGCAAGCAUAAAGAGAAGACUAUGCUUAACUGUCUUUCUAGGAUGGGAGAGUGAUACUGGGAAAUCAUUCUUCCCAAAUCUCCAACGCUAAACCAGUUAGAAACAGGCAUUCUGAGUACAACACAGCAUAGACAACCCAACCUUCAUCUAUCUACAGUGUUUGGAAACACUGUUGCAUGAGGUGAGUCUGAGAGCUGGGACCGCUCAGCCCUGAGAGACAACCUGGGGACCUCAACACUGUGCGUAAGCAUCUGAUGAGAGGGAGUGAAGACACAGCCAG
This is a long non-coding RNA of Gallus gallus (chicken), 356 nucleotides long. NCBI's taxonomy places the organism in Eukaryota, Metazoa, Chordata, Aves, Galliformes, Phasianidae. The record is from Ensembl.